AAGUCGUAACAAGGUUUCCGUAGGUAUAGGUUUGCCUACCGAAGCCCUUAGCCAGCGACUCUAAAGAAAUCAGCUAUAAGUCGCCCCUCCGGGGGCUGGCGACGCCAUCAAUCUGUGUCUGGGAGUGCUCCCCACAAGGGGAGUAUCACCGGCAGCUCGUUCUAUCCGAGUUCACAGGUCAAACGAUAGCGGCCACUUCGGUGGUUAAGAUAUGAUCGGCCCCCGGCUAUCACCUAGCUAGGGAGGUUUGCGGAACCUGCGGAAGGAUCAUUAUUGAGUUCGGGGGCCUAGCCCUCAGCGAUGGGUGUCGUAUCGAGUCCAUCUGGGCUCGAGCCGGCAUUCGUCGCGUCUCUCAACCCCAUGUUUACCAUACCUUUGUUGCUUUGGCGGGUCUUGAGUAGGCUUCACGGCUCAUGCCAGCCCUAGCCUUCAUUACCUAGGGAUGGCUCGCGCCCGCCAGAGGUUUAUUUAAAAAUCCUAAAUAUUAGUGAUGUCUGAGCAAAUAUUAAAUAAUCAAAACUUUCAACAACGGAUCUCUUGGUUCUGGCAUCGAUGAAGAACGCAGCGAAAUGCGAUAAGUAAUGUGAAUUGCAGAAUUCAGUGAAUCAUCGAAUCUUUGAACGCACAUUGCGCCCCUCGGUAUUCCGGGGGGCAUGCCUGUUCGAGCGUCAUUACACCCCUCAAGCGUAGCUUGGUAUUGAACUUUCGCGGGCCUUUUAUAGGGGGCUCGCGGGUCGAAAAGCAGUGCGGUCCCCGAGGAUUCGCGCGUAGUAAAUAUUAUCCCGCGUUGGAAAGAAUCGAAAGGGCCUUGCCAAAACCCCCCCCCAUAAUCUCCAUAAAUUGACCUCGGAUCAGGUAGGGAUACCCGCUGAACUUAAGCAUAUCAAUAAGCGGAGGAAAAGAAACCAACAGGGAUUGCCUUAGUAACGGCGAGUGAAGCGGCAACAGCUCAAAUUUGAAAUCUGGUCCUUUCAGGGCCCGAGUUGUAAUUUGUAGAGGAUGUUUCGGGUGCGGCGCGGGUCUAAGUCCUUUGGAACAGGGCGUCAUAGAGGGUGAGAAUCCCGUAUGUGACCCGUGAUCAAGUCCAUGUGAAACCCCUUCGACGAGUCGAGUUGUUUGGGAAUGCAGCUCAAAAUGGGUGGUAAAUUUCAUCUAAAGCUAAAUACCGGCCAGAGACCGAUAGCGCACAAGUAGAGUGAUCGAAAGAUGAAAAGCACUUUGGAAAGAGAGUCAAAAAGUACGUGAAAUUGUUGAAAGGGAAGCGCUUGCAACCAGACCUGUCCGCAGGCGAUCAACCCUCGUUCUCGGGGGUGCACUCGUCUGCGAUCAGGCCAGCAUCGGUUCGGGCGGUCGGAUAAAGGCCUUGGGAAUGUAGCUCCUUCCGGGGAGUCUUAUAGCCCUCGGUGCAAUGCGGCCAGCCCGGACCGAGGACCGCGCCUUCGGGCUAGGAUGCUGGCGUAAUGGUUGUAAGCGACC
This 1476-nucleotide ribosomal RNA is filed under the name uncultured fungus. Its description in RNAcentral is "eukaryotic LSU rRNA". The stretch from base 842 to 1476 matches the Rfam family "Eukaryotic large subunit ribosomal RNA", at positions 1 to 649 of the family's 3401-position model. The record is from RNAcentral. Lineage: Eukaryota; Fungi.